AACGAACGCUGGCGGCAUGCCUAACACAUGCAAGUCGAACGGGACCUUCGGGUCUACUUGCUCACGGGUGCGUCACGCGUGGGACCCUGCCCUUAGGCUCCGAAUAACUCUCCUUCGGGGGUGCUAAUACCGGAUAACUUCCUCUGACCAAAGAUUUAACGACCUUGGAUGGGCCCGCGUUGGAUUAGCUAGUCGGUAUGGGAAAAGCCUAUCAAGGCUACGCUCGAUAGCUGGUCUGAGAGAAUGAGCAGAGACACUGGGACUGAGACCCGGCCGAGACUCCUGCGGGAGGCAGGAGUGGCGAAUAUUGGACAAUGGGCGAAAUGCUGAUGCAGCAAUGGCUGGUGAGUGAUGAAGGCGUGAGGGUAGUAAAGCACUUUUACCCGGGAUGAUAAUGACGGUACCGGAAGAAUAAGCACCGGCUAACUCCGUG
This 433-nucleotide ribosomal RNA is filed under the name uncultured bacterium. RNAcentral describes it as "partial 16S ribosomal RNA". It matches the Rfam family "Bacterial small subunit ribosomal RNA", at positions 29 to 507 of the family's 1533-position model. The record is from RNAcentral.